This 491-nucleotide ribosomal RNA is filed under the name uncultured bacterium. Its description in RNAcentral is "partial 16S ribosomal RNA". It matches the Rfam family "Bacterial small subunit ribosomal RNA", at positions 29 to 506 of the family's 1533-position model. The record is from RNAcentral.
AGUGAACGCUGGCGGUAGGCCUAACACAUGCAAGUCGAACGGCAGCACAGUAAGAGCUUGCUCUUACGGGUGGCGAGUGGCGGACGGGUGAGGAAUACAUCGGAAUCUACUUUUUCGUGGGGGAUAACGUAGGGAAACUUACGCUAAUACCGCAUACGACCUACGGGUGAAAGCAGGGGAUCUUCGGACCUUGCGCGAUUGAAUGAGCCGAUGUCGGAUUAGCUAGUUGGCGGGGUAAAGGCCCACCAAGGCGACGAUCCGUAGCUGGUCUGAGAGGAUGAUCAGCCACACUGGAAGUGAGAAACGGCCAAGACCCCUAAGGGAGGCAGAAGGGGGGAAUAUUGGACAAUGGGCGCAAGCCUGAUCCAGCCAUACCGGGUGGGUGAAGAAGGCCUUCGGGUUGUAAAGCCCUUUUGUUGGGAAAGAAAAGCAGCAGGUUAAUACCCCGCUGUUUUGGCGGUACCAAAAGAAGAAGCACCGGCGAACUUCGU